GGUAAUAUGGCCGAGGUAUAGGCAGUAAACUGUAAAUUUACUUACGAAUUGUUAUUCUUUUACCA
Molecule: transfer RNA, 65 nt
Filed under: Cleroidea sp. 4 KM-2017
Lineage: Eukaryota; Metazoa; Arthropoda; Insecta; Coleoptera
Description: tRNA-Tyr
Source: RNAcentral